Non-coding RNA from Mustela lutreola (European mink), 925 nucleotides. NCBI's taxonomy places the organism in Eukaryota, Metazoa, Chordata, Mammalia, Carnivora, Mustelidae. The record is from the annotation of a RefSeq genome assembly.
GUGAAAAGGAUUGAGUGUAAGAACACAAUUUCUCUGAAUCCAAGACUACACCCAGCACAGUAGCAUUGUCAGUAAUUCAACAACUAGACAAGAAAUCAUGAGGAGAUAUUGGGGAGCUCUGCUGGGGCUCCUAUGGCUCCAGGUUUGCUGGGUGAGAGGGAUGACGGUGGAGCAGAACCCUUCACACCAGAGCCUCCAGGAGGGAGCCAUCUCUACUCUCAAGUGCAAUUUCUCUAAUGCAGUGAACAAUGUGCAGUGGUUCCGACAGAACCCCGGGGGCGGCAGUCUCACCCGGCUGUUUUUCAUAGCUUCAGGGAUGAAGCAGAGUGGAAGGUUAAACUGCACAGUGAAUAUUAAGGAUCGGUCCAGCACCCUCCACAUCAGGGCCUCCCAACUGGAAGACUCAGCCACCUACCUGUGUGCAGUGGAGGCACAGUGCUUCUUGGUGAUCUGCAGCCUGCACCCAAACUGCAGCUGUGCCUGUAGGCCCCACCCUUCCCUGGGUUGUACAUUUGCCCCCAGAGCAGGCUUUGCACAUUUUCAGACUUUCAGAUUUAUGUUAGGGCACUUUUUUUCUCUCCUAAAAUUAGACCCAUCAGGGCUUUCAUUUCACUUACUUGCCCUUUUUCCUCCCAGAAAGCCCUUUGCAGGUAAAAACCUCUACCAUGGAGUCACUGGAGCAAGUGAUAGAAAUGCCCAUAUCCAGUACCCUGGGAAAACAGAUGUCCUAGCAGCUAGCAUAUAAAUUAUCUGUAAGUAGUCAAAUGGAAAAUGCUCAAAAAAUUCAGUGGUCAUCAGUAAACAAAGAGAUGACUAAAUUUUUUAGUUAUCUGUGGGUGGUUCUUUUUCAAAGAAAUGUAAAGAGAAUAUGCACAAUGUUUUCUAAAGUCUGUAUUCAGCUUUUUACUCCUGGAAACACAAAUAC